This 495-nucleotide ribosomal RNA is filed under the name uncultured bacterium. Its description in RNAcentral is "partial 16S ribosomal RNA". It matches the Rfam family "Bacterial small subunit ribosomal RNA", at positions 28 to 505 of the family's 1533-position model. The record is from RNAcentral.
GAUGAACGCUGGCGGCGUGCCUAAUACAUGCAAGUCGAGCGAACAGACGAGGAGCUUGCUCCUCUGACGUUAGCGGCGGACGGGUGAGUAACACGUGGAUAACCUACCUAUAAGACUGGGAUAACUUCGGGAAACCGGAGCUAAUACCGGAUAAUAUAUUGAACCGCAUGGUUCAAUAGUGAAAGACGGUUUUGCUGUCACUUAUAGAUGGAUCCGCGCCGCAUUAGCUAGUUGGUAAGGUAACGGCUUACCAAGGCAACGAUGCGUAGCCGACCUGAGAGGGGGACGGGCCACGCGGAAAGUGAGACCCGGUCCAGCCCCCAAGGGGGGGCAGCGUGGGGAAAUCUCCCCAAAGGGGGAAAAGCCUGAGGGAGAAACGCCGGGUGGGUGAAGAAGGUCUUGGGAUCGAAAACCCCUUUUUUUGGGGAAAAACAAAUGUGUAAGUACCUAGGCCCGUUUUGGCGGAACCAAAACAAAAAGCCCCGGCAAACUCCG